GCGAAACUGGACGAAAGUUUUUAUAUUUUUUUAUAUCAUUUGUGGCAAGUUGAAAGUGUUUCGUGAAUAUAUAUUUAUUUUUUUUUUAAAAGAAACAAAAAAAAAAAAAAAAAGAAAGAGUCUUGUGAUUUACUUAGUGCUAAUUAAUUAAUUUCCAUGCAGAUCUUUCAAUAUGAAAUUCACACGACGAAAAGGGGAAUUUUUUUUUUCAAAUAAAAUAUUUAAAUAUUUUAUUGCUGGGAUAUUUGUUUUAACUUGGAUAAAUUGUGCAACAGGAUGUCAAUUUUAUCCAGUUGGUGAAUAUUUAAAGUUCAUCAGAGUACCUGAAAAUUUAGCAGUUGGUGCUGAAGUAUUGUCUCUUGAAGUUCAUCCACGUACUCAAUUAACAAUCAUUCCAAUUGACCAGGAAGAAGAUGCUAAAUAUUUUUCUUACAAGGAUGUUAAUGAGACUCAUAUAUCUGUGAUACUUUCACAAUCACUUGAUAAUUUAAUUGAUUCUGGAUAUUCAAGGAACAUUCUGAAGUUUCGUUUUCUUUGCGAUUACUCAGACACUGCUAAUUCACUGAUUUCUUCUCAUUUGUCGAUGACUGUUUACGUUGAAGAUGUCAAUGAUCAUACACCACAAUUUAUUGGAGCACCUUAUAACGUGGCUGUUGAUGAAUUGACACCACCAGGUACAAUAAUAUUUCGUGGAAUUAAUGCAUUUGAUGGUGACAAAAUAAACACACCAAAUAGCGAUGUGCAUUAUGCGAUAGUGAGAGGUAAUGAGGAUGAUAAAUUUUCUCUCGAAUCUGGUCAUCGAACUGCUUUAAUCCUUCGAAAAUCACUCGACUAUGACAAUGGUGAUAGAAAAUAUCAGCUCGUUAUAACAGCAACAGAUCGUGGUACACCAGUUAGAAGUGCAAAUACAACAAUUAUUAUUAACGUGAUGGACAAUGAUGACCUUGCUCCAAAAUUCACUCAAGACACGUACAGAGCAAAAAUAUACGAGACUUAUCCUUUUCCGAGAAGCUCGAUUCAUACAGAGAUACACUUCGACAAUCCAAUAUCAGCAAAAGACCAAGACACAUCAAUAAAUACACCGAUAAAAUAUACUAUAAUGACUGGUAAUGAACGUGGAUUAUUUAAAAUAAAUUCACAAAAUGGUAGUUUAUAUCUUCAACGUCCAAUUGAUAUUGAUAAUGAAAAAAUUCCAAACAAUACAUUUCAUUUACAAAUUCAUGCAAUGCAAAUUGAUAGUCCAUUAAAGUAUGAUAACGCAAGAGUUGAAAUUGAAAUACUUGAUUUAAAUGAUAAUUUACCUGUAUUUGAAGUUGAAAAUUAUAACAUAAGUAUUGUUGAAAAUUUACCAAAUGGUUUUAGUGUUUUACAAGUUGUUGCAACAGACAAUGAUCAAGGUGAUAAUGCUGAAUUUAUUUAUCAAUUAAAUGACACAUCUGGUGGUUUUUUAAUUGAUGAAAAAAGUGGUUGGUUAACUGUUAAAGAUGAGCGUGUAUUAGAUCGUGAAAAAAUAUCAUUUUUAAAAAUGUUUGUUUAUGCUGUUGAAAAAAAAAAAAGUGUUGUACAAAAAAUUAAUGGUAAAUCAUCAGUUGAAGUUGAAGUAACAUUACUUGAUGCUAAUGAUAAUAAUCCAAUUUUUUUACCAACAAAUAUUUAUGAAUUUACAACAAAAAGUCAUGUUAAAAUUGGAACUGUUAUUGGACAAGUACAUGCUGUUGAUAAUGAUCUUGGUAAAAAUGGUGUUGUGAGAUAUGGUUUACAAAAAACAAGUGGUAAUAGUAGUUAUGUUAAUAUACCAUUUUCUGUUAAUUCACGUACGGGUAUUAUAAGUGUUUCUGAUACUCCGCUUACUGAAGGACGACAUGCAAUAUUUGUUGAUGCAACUGAUCAACCAGUUAAUCCAAGUGAAAGAAGAUUUUCAUUGGCUGUUGUUACGAUUGAUGUGUUUCCUCCAGGUGAGGAUAAAAUGUCAAUGCCUGACUUUGUGGGUUCACCGUAUGAAUUUUGGGUUGGGGCAAAUGUUCCAAUUGGUACAAGUGUUGGACAGAUUCGUAUCAACGAAGCAGUCAAAAAAAAAAAUCAUAUCGUCUACGAUUUACUUCACAGCUAUCGUGAAGGAGUUCCAUUUGCGGUGGAAGAACAAACAGGCACCAUAACAGUCAUUGAUAAAAUUGAAAAUUAUGUUAAAAAAUUAUUUGAUUUUGAAGCUGUUGUUACGAACGAAAGAGAUUUAAUGCUUGUUACAAAUGUCUCAAUUCAUGUUGUUAAUCCAAAUGAAAAUCGUGAUUUAUUUAUAAAAGGUACAACAAAAGCUCCAUUGGUAUUUCACACAAAAGAAAAUAGUCAAGAUGCAUUUAUUGGACAAGUACUUCCACGUAAUGUUACAAACGCAACGAAAAAUAUACGUUUUCUUAUCGCCAAUCAACGUGAUGUGCCUGAUAUAAAAAUAACUGAGGACGGUGAACUCUAUACUGUCGGUGGUCUUGACCGUGAAAUGAGAGAAAAUUACAGCAUCACUGUAAUUGCCGAGACAACGAGGGGCCUCAGGGUUUUUCAAGUUACUGUUGUGGUAGACGAUGUCAAUGAUAAUCCACCAGUAUUUGAUUCAUUAAUGUACGUGGGACGAAUCAAGGAAAACAGUAGAAUUGGAACAGAAGUGAUACUUGAUAAAAAAAUAACAACUCACGAUAUCGACAGUUCUAUCAACAGAAAUUACAGUUUAAUACUUGAAGGUGAUGACAAUAAACAAUUUACAAUUGAUCAAAAAACAGCAAGAGUUUAUUUCAAUGGUAUGGAAAAUAAUUUGUUAGAUAGAGAAGAAAAAUCAACUUAUGAAUUGCAAAUUGUUGCAACUGACAACAUAAAUCCAAAAUCAUUGGCUAAAUUGACAAUUGAAAUUGAAGAAGAAAAUGAUAAUGCUCCAGUAUUUACAAAAAUGAUUGUGACUCCAAAUUACGAUAUAAAAGUAUCAGAAGAAAUAAAUCAUGAUGAUAAAUUUAACUAUCAUAAUUCACCAAUUUUAAAUGUUCCUGAAAAUUCAACAAUAGGUACAAUGAUUGUACGUCUUUUGGCCAAUGACAAAGAUGAAAUUGACAAUGGAAAAAUAACAUAUGCAAUUGUAAAUGAAACAAUAAUGACAAUUGAUAGAAAAACAAAUAUAAAAUCACAUUUUAUAAUUGAUAAAAAAACAGGUGAAUUAUUUGUAUCACGUGUCUUACCACCAGGUUUGAAAUUUAAUCUUAAAAUAAUUGCCAAAGAUUCAGCAAAUCAAACUGAUAGUAUAACAAUAAAAAUAAUAAUUAUUGACAUUAAUGAUCAUUCACCAGUAUUUAAAAAAUCUUGGUAUGAAUUUAAUAUACCCGAGGGUAUUUAUACAAGUUAUGAACUUGGUGAAAUAACAGCAACUGAUAUGGAUAUGAAUGAAAAUGCAAUAAUAAAUUAUCAAAUAAAUUCAACAAUAAAUAAUGAUUUAUUAAAUUUAAUAUUUGAUAUUGAUUCAACAACUGGAAUAAUAACUGUAACUGGAAAACUUGACCGUGAAAUAUGUGAUAGAUAUAAUAUUAUUAUUAUUGCAUAUGACAAUGGUAAACCACGUAUGAGUUCAAGUGGAAAUGUUGCAAUAAAUGUCUUGGAUACAAAUGAUAAUCCACCAGUAUUUUAUGGCUAUACUGAUAUUAUUUAUACUCAUAAUAAUGAUAAAUAUAUUAAUAAUAAUAAUGUUGAAUUACCAAUAUAUUAUGCAUCAAUAAAUGAAAAUACAAAAAUUGGUACAAUUGUUACUCGUGUUUAUGCAAAUGACAGUGAUUUUAUUGGUAAUGGUAAUGGUUUAAUUUUAUAUGAUUUAUCAUAUUUAAUUGGUGAAAAACAAUUUUUUACAAUUAAUAGUAAAGAUGGUGAUAUAACAACAAUUACAAAACUCAAUUAUGAAGAUAAAAAUUUUCAUAAUUUGACAAUAAUUGCACGUGAUUUAGGAUCACCAAGUCUUACCUCAACAGCAUUUGUUUAUGUUGAGAUUGUUGAUGUUGAUGAACCACUAGAUUAUGAUGAUAAACUUUCAAACAAUAAGCCAGUAUUUCAACAUCAAUAUUACGAAGUUGAAAUUGAAGAAAAUUCAAUAGUACCAUUAACAUUAUUAAAAUUAAAUAUUUCAAUGUUACAUAAUAAUAAUCAAAGUCAAAAUUAUAAAUUUAGUAUUAUAUUUAAUGAUAAUGAUACUGAGUUAAAUGAUUAUUUUAAAAUUGAUUCUAAUAAUGGUACAUUGAUAUUGAUUAAAGAAGUUGAUAGAGAAUAUAGAAAUAAUUAUGAAUUUAAAGUUAAAAUUGAUUGGCAAAAAAGUGGUCGUGGUAUACCUGUUGUUAUUUAUCCAAUAACAGAUAAUAGAAUAAGUGAUUUAGAUAUUAAUGAAGCAAAAAUUAUUAUACGUGUCAAGGAUAUAAAUGAUAAUGCACCAAGAUUUAGGACAAAAGGACGACCUCUCCUUGCAGCAAUUGGUACAUCCAUCAAUUAUGGCCAUGAAAUUAUAAAAAUUGAGGCUGAGGAUCCAGAUGAGGGAAUAAAUGGUGAAAUAAGAUAUCAAAUUCUUGGCCAUGAUGAUGCACUACGUUUUGCCAUUGACCCAUUAACUGGUCAAGUGCGAUCGGUGAGUACAUUUUAUCAGGAUGCCGGACGAGUUUUUGGCUUUGAUGUCAAGGCAACUGAUCUUUGUGGCUCGGAAAAUGGAAGAAGUAGUAUAGUCAAUGUUUUUGUUUAUGUUGUUGAUGAUAAUAAACAAGUGGUAAUGGUAUUGGGUCAAAAACCAAUUGAAAUUGAAUAUCAAAUUGGAGAAAUAACACGUGCAUUACAAAAUGUGACGGGUUUAGAUGUUAGGGUGAGAAAAUUAGAGCCACAUAUUGAAAAAAAUCUUAUUGAUACAACAAGCACUGAUGUUUAUCUGUACGCUGUUGAUCCAGUCUUGAAUGUCAUGGUUGAAAUGGAUAAUCUAAAUAGUGUAUUUAGAAAAAAAAAGAGUGAAAUUAAAGGUGAACUUGAAAAAUAUCGUCUACUUGAUAUCACUGGAAAUUCAAUGAGACGUCAGCAUUAUUUAAUGUCCACACUUGAAAUGGGUGCGAUUUUACUUGGAUGUGUUAUUUUCUUAGGAGCAUUGAUUAUUGCCUCUUGUAUUGCUUGUAUUCGACGAGGCAAAAGACACUGCCGUGAUCCACCUUUAGGUGCUGCGAUGUUUCCAGCUGGUGGACCAGUUGGUUUUGCAUUGACUGAGCAAAGCACAUCACUGGGAAAACCAUCUCUAUUUCCAGCUUUUGUUGAUGGACUACGUUAUUAUCCAGAGCCAUUUCCAAAUGAUGAAAGAAGGCUCAGUAUUUGUGAACAUGAGCCUGGCUGUGUUCAACACAAUCCAUGCCGAUCUCGUAGUUGUGGAAUGACCAAGAAAAUACCACAAAUUUCUAGUGUAAAUAGUGCAGGAUGCCAUAAGUCUUCAGUAGCUUCACUUCACUCGAGUGGACAAGAUUCUGGAAUAGUAGCACGUCCAUGUCACUGUGGCCAUUCAUCGAGUCCUUCAAGUACUGAUAGCAGCAAGAUAAUGAAUAUGGAGAUAUUGCGUUCCAGUAGCUAUGAGGAUUCCCUGAAGUCACUACAUCGAAAUAGCCUGAGUAAUGAACAAUCCUCUCGGGGACAUGAUACCACUGUGAUUGGAGAUAGUGGAGCUGUUGGUGAACAUCAAACAGUCAACAAAAAUAAACGACAAAGGUUACAUCAUACUUUGUCAAAUGCAGAUGUAAUAUAUGAUCGAGAUACAAGCUUACACAGAGAAAUGCGAUAUCGUAACAACAAUGAAAAAUUAUGACAAUGAUUCGUGAGCAUCCCACUGGGGGUAAUGAUAGUGUCAACGUUGUCAGGUUACAUGGACGAGCUGGGUCGAGCCACUCACUGUAUUGGUAAAAAAUGUAUUAUAUAAUUAAAAUUUAAUUACUAGUAAGCCAAAUUAUUUCAAAAGUCAUUUAAAUGGUUACAUAAGUCAAUUAAAUUUUUCUAGUUUUAUUUUUUUUUUUUAAAUAAAAAUUGACAUUGAAUAAAAAUUUAAAAAAUAAAUGUUUUAAUU
This 6097-nucleotide unclassified non-coding RNA is filed under the name Aphidius gifuensis. RNAcentral's name for it is "cadherin-89D, transcript variant X2". The record is from RNAcentral. Lineage: Eukaryota; Metazoa; Arthropoda; Insecta; Hymenoptera; Braconidae.